GGGGCGGAUUCCGAAAAGCCUGAUGAUAAACAGAGUAGGAA
This 41-nucleotide non-coding RNA is filed under the name unclassified sequences. RNAcentral's name for it is "DUF805b RNA". It matches the Rfam family "DUF805b RNA". Rfam says of the family: Bacteroidetes, Chlorobi (1 example), Proteobacteria. Lineage (Flavobacteria) The record is from RNAcentral.